UUGAACGCUGGCGGCAUGCCUAACACAUGCAAGUCGAACGGUAACGCGGAGAGCUUGCUCUCUGGCGACGAGUGGCGGACGGGUGAGUAAUACUUAGGAAUCUGCCCAGUAUGGGGGACGAACAUUCGGAAACGGAUGCUAAUACCGCAUACGCACUACGGUGGAAAGUGGGGGACCUUCGGGCCUCACGCUAUUGGAUGAGCCUAAGUCGGAUUAGCUUGUUGGUGAGGUAAUAGCUCACCAAGGCGACGAUCCGUAGCUGGUCUGAGAGGACGAUCAGCCACACUGGGACUGAGACACGGCCCAGACUCCUACGGGAGGCAGCAGUGGGGGAAUAUUGGACAAUGGGCGCAAGCCUGAUCCAGCAAUGCCGCGUGUGUGAAGAAGGCCUGCGGGUUGUAAAGCACUUUCAGUAGAGAAGAAAAGCCUAGGGUUAAUACCCCUGAGUCUUGACGUAACCUACAGAAGAAGCACCGGCUAACUCCGUG
Molecule: ribosomal RNA, 488 nt
Filed under: uncultured bacterium
Lineage: Bacteria
Description: bacterial SSU rRNA
Rfam family: Bacterial small subunit ribosomal RNA
Source: RNAcentral